UGAUAGUGAUAAGAAUAAUUUUUGAGCAUACCUUUAAAUCUCUCCCAAGCUAGGUAGAGAUUUUCUCCAUCUUUCUAUCUGAAACUCAAGAUCUCACUCUUCAAUCA
RNAcentral lists this small nucleolar RNA (107 nucleotides) under Capsicum annuum. RNAcentral's name for it is "Plant small nucleolar RNA R71". It matches the Rfam family "Plant small nucleolar RNA R71". Rfam says of the family: R71 is a member of the C/D box family of snoRNAs containing the C (UGAUGA) and D (CUGA) box motifs. Multiple nearly identical copies of this snoRNA have been identified in Arabidopsis, and it is thought to function as a 2'-O-ribose methylation guide for 18S ribosomal RNA. Lineage: Eukaryota; Viridiplantae; Streptophyta; Magnoliopsida; Solanales; Solanaceae. The record is from Rfam by way of RNAcentral.